RNAcentral lists this small RNA (210 nucleotides) under Klebsiella aerogenes. RNAcentral describes it as "Gammaproteobacterial sRNA STnc100". It matches the Rfam family "Gammaproteobacterial sRNA STnc100". Lineage: Bacteria; Pseudomonadati; Pseudomonadota; Gammaproteobacteria; Enterobacterales; Enterobacteriaceae. The record is from RNAcentral.
GCAGAAAGAGCAUUUUGCUACCUUUGUCUGGCGGCGAAUUCCCCUGUGCGGAGGAGCGUUCAGUUCAAAUCUCUAUGCAGUUUGUCAUACGCACGCGAAUUAGCGUGAACUGGCUAAUUCACCGGGAGGCACCCGGCGUCGCAGAUAAAUAUACAGGCAUUCCUUGAGUCAAUUAUUUUUCCAGCGCUUUGGCGCUGGUUUUUUUUAACC